Molecule: ribosomal RNA, 460 nt
Filed under: uncultured bacterium
Lineage: Bacteria
Description: partial 16S ribosomal RNA
Rfam family: Bacterial small subunit ribosomal RNA
Source: RNAcentral
CCUACGGGAGGCAGCAGUGAGGAAUAUUGGUCAAUGGACGGAAGUCUGAACCAGCCAUGCCGCGUGAAGGAUGACGGCUCUAUGAGUUGUAAACUGCUUUUGUACGAGGAUAAAAUUCAGUACGUGUACUGAGCUGAAAGUACCGUAUGAAUAAGGAUCGGCUAACUCCGUGCCAGCAGCCGCGGUAAUACGGAGGAUCCAAGCGUUAUCCGGAUUUAUUGGGUUUAAAGGGUGCGUAGGCGGGUUGUUAAGUCAGGGGUGAAAUGUGCGGGCUUAACCCCAGAAGUGCAGUUGAUACUGGGGACCUGGAGAGCAGAGGAGGUAGGCGGAAUGUGUGGUGUAGCGGUGAAAUGCUUAGAGAUCGCGCAGAACACCGAUUGCGAAGGCAGCUUGCCGAUCUGUAACUGACGCUGAGGCACGAAAGCGUGGGGAGCAAACAGGAUUAGAUACCCCGGUAGUC